AUUGAACGCUGGCGGCAGGCUUAACACAUGCAAGUCGAGCGAGCCGCGCACGGGUGAGUUGUGUCUGGGAAUCUGCGUGAUGGGGGGGUAAAACUUCUGGAAAGGGUCGCUAAUACCGCAUCACAUGAUGUGCGCCCCGAUGGGAUUAGCUAGUGGGUGGGGUAAUGGCACACCUAGGCGACGAUCCCUAGCUGGUCUGAGAGGAUGACCAGCCACACUGGAACUGAGACACGGUCCAGACUCCUACGGGAGGCAGCAGUGGGGAAUAUUGCACAAUGGGCGCAAGCCUGAUGCAGCCAUGCCGCGUGUAUGAAGAAGGCCUUCGGGUUGUAAAGCACUUUCAGCGAGGAGGCGUUACUCGCAGAAGAAGCACCGGCUAACUCCGUGCCAGCAGCCGCGGUAAUAC
RNAcentral lists this ribosomal RNA (406 nucleotides) under uncultured bacterium. Its description in RNAcentral is "partial 16S ribosomal RNA". It matches the Rfam family "Bacterial small subunit ribosomal RNA", at positions 30 to 526 of the family's 1533-position model. The record is from RNAcentral.